RNAcentral lists this ribosomal RNA (219 nucleotides) under uncultured bacterium. Its description in RNAcentral is "partial 16S ribosomal RNA". It matches the Rfam family "Bacterial small subunit ribosomal RNA", at positions 116 to 334 of the family's 1533-position model. The record is from RNAcentral.
CGUGAGGAACCUACCUUUCAAGUGGGGAAUAACUGCCAGAAAUGGCAGCUAAUACCGCAUGUGGUUGUCUGUUGGCAUCUUCGGACAACUAAAGAUUUAUCGCUUGGAGACGGCCUCGCGGCCUAUUAGCUAGUUGGUGGGGUAAUGGCCUACCAAGGCGAUGAUGGGUAGCUGGUCUGAGAGGACGAUCAGCCACACUGGGACUGAGACACGGCCCAG